CCUACGGGGUGCAGCAGUGGGGAAUAUUGCGCAAUGGGCGAAAGCCUGACGCAGCGACGCCGCGUGAGGGAUGAAGGUCUUCGGAUCGUAAACCUCUGUCAGCAGGGAAGAACGGUCACUGUGCUAAUCAGCAGUGAAUUGACGGUACCUGCAAAGGAAGCACCGGCUAACUCCGUGCCAGCCGCCGCGGUAAUACGGAGGGUGCGAGCGUUAAUUGGAAUUACUGGGCGUAAAGGGCUCGUAGGCGGUAUGUCAAGUCAAGGGUGAAAUCCCCGGGCUCAACGUGGGAACUGCCUUUGAAACUGGCAAACUGGAGUGUGUGAGAGGAUAGUGGAAUUCCAGGUGUAGGAGUGAAAUCCGUAGAUAUCUGGAGGAACAUCAGUGGCGAAGGCGACUAUCUGGCACAUAACUGACGCUGAGGAGCGAAAGCGUGGGUAGCAAACAGGAUUAGAUACCCCUGUAGUC
Molecule: ribosomal RNA, 465 nt
Filed under: uncultured bacterium
Lineage: Bacteria
Description: partial 16S ribosomal RNA
Rfam family: Bacterial small subunit ribosomal RNA
Source: RNAcentral